This is an RNA transcript of Amphiprion ocellaris (clown anemonefish), 5282 nucleotides long. It is a transcript of the gene named phosphatidylinositol glycan anchor biosynthesis, class F, with no coding region annotated. The transcript has 7 exons. The record is from RefSeq and is a predicted model, not a curated record. NCBI's taxonomy places the organism in Eukaryota, Metazoa, Chordata, Actinopteri, Pomacentridae.
AAGAAGAAGAAGAAGUCAGUUCGGCUCCAUGUUUACGGAAACCAGGUCGGAGGCUCCUCAAUGGAUGGAAGCUGCUCUAUCCGUCCGCUCUUACGUUAACAUUCAAAGUGUUUUAUUUUAAUUAUUUUCGCAGUGUUAGUCUCCUGUUGUAGACAGGCUUAGUCUUCAUCAUGUGGGACCAUGAAAUCAGAGCCAUGGCCUCCUCCCACGCCAUCAUCGCCGCCUCCGUCUUCAUGGCGACCGUCCUACCGGCGGUGCUGCUGCCGGGCUUCUCGGUCUACGGCUCGCACCUGCUGUGGCUCUACUCGGUGUCCGGAGCCGUGACCGCGGUCAGUGUCGCCGUCUUCUGGCUGCUCGGCAUCACACCGCCCACCAAGAAGCACACGCUGGGCUACAAGCUGUCCAGGCUGUUUCGUUCCUGCCUGUAUUUCUUCCUGUCUUGCCUGUUCUUCCACACUGUGGUUGUUCUAUAUGGAGCACCGCUGAUUGAAUCUGCCUUGGAGACGUUCUCUCUUGCUGUGCUGCUGACCUCGCUAACCACACUGAGAUGUCUCUGCGUCCUCGGGCCCAACGUCCAGGCCUGGAUACGUGUGUUCAGUCGUCACGGAGCUAUGUCUGUGUGGGACACCUGUCUGCAGAUCACAGUGGCCUGCACAGUGGUAGGAGCCUGGAUGGGAGCAUUUCCAAUACCUCUGGACUGGGACAGGCCUUGGCAGGGAUGGAGCCUAUCCUGCUGUAUCUUGCUGUGUUCGUUGAAGAGCUUUUCAGAAAACACAAUUUACAAGUGCUCUUGACUGCCUUUGAGAAGAAAGCACUGCAAGGUAGCUAAAAGCUGCAAAAAUAUAGAUCUGAACUGGUAGGUGGUUUAAGGUGAGUACAUUUUUUCAUUGCUCUGAACGCAAAGAUUUUAUAAUGUAUUUUCCGAGAAAGUCGCAAAUUAAACCUUUUGUCUCUUUACAAUAUCAGUGAAAUUUAUUCUGCAAAUGUAAAAGCUUGAUACACAUUAAGUUGUUGCACUACAUCCCUGAUAAACACUUCUUUAGAUGCUGCCAUGCAAAGAAAUGUGACAGACAGGCCAUGCUAUGGACUGUAUUGUUGGUCAUUCAGGUCAUCACUUUGGUUUAGACUGAAAUGUCUCAGCAACUGUUGGAUUUGUUGCCAUGACAGUUUGUACAAAUACUGAUAAUCCCCAGAGGAUGAAUCAUAUGACUGGCAAGAUUGUAGUGGUACGAUAAAGUGAAAGUUUCAUCCAUCCAUCCAUUUGCUUUAUUCUGCAGAGAAAGCCAAUAGCAGGGUGCAACCUAAGCAGGUCACCAGUCCAUUAAGGGGUAGCUGAAAACCUCUCUUCAGUAAAAUAGUUGAACAUUUAAUGCAAUAAUUGUCAAAACAUUUUAUACAGAUUGAAUAAAUGUCCACUUAGACUAGAGGAUUACUUUAUUAGAUGUCUGUGCUUCAAGUUCAUUGUCACUUUAACCUCACAAAACACAUCUCUGGCUCAAGCUUGAGGUCAAGAGUUCUAAUUAUGACAAACGUUUGCACAAGUGUCUAAUAUGUUAAAAUGAUGAAUUGAUAACACUUUAUAUCCAAAAGGUCAGAGGUCAACUUCAAUUUGAUAUCUUUGUGUUCUGCAUGAACACUUCUCUGGCCUUUAUUGAAUGGAUAACUCAGCAACAGAAGAGGACAUUUGGACCAUAUUUCAGUUUUGAUUAGAUAAAUCGAUAAAGAGAAUCCUGCAGCGGAGGAAAUCAGUGCUCCCCAUCUACACCAGGCAGGAUCAUGGAGGACCUUCAGCACUCCAACAACGCUUUACCUGCUGCCUGCACAACAUCAAGGAGGCAAGAGCAGAGCAUGCUGGCUGAAGGCAAGAUCAUCACACAACAGGCAGCAAAUAAAAUCAGCAUCUCUGCAGAAAGGCUGCGCGCGUAUCUGGCGGAGCGCACCUUGAGUUCGUGGUAGCAUUGAACGAAACUGUGGUAGAUGAAGGUGAUGGGCAGAGCCAGGAGCACGAUGCCGCUCACCACGCACAUCCCGCCGAGCACUCGCCCCCCAAUAGUCACCGGAUACACAUCUCCGUACCCCACCGUCGUCAUGGAGAUGAUGACCCACCAGGCAGCGGCCGGGAUGCUGGCGUAGUCGUGGUUCUGCGUGCCCAAGUCCAAGCCGUGCUCCAGGAGCUGGGCCAGAGCGCUGUAUAUCGCCAUGGCAACGCACACAAACACCAUCAGCAUCACCAUCUCCCGGUAACAGCGCCGGAGCGUCAGGCCCAGAGUCUGCAGGCCCAGGAAGUGUCUGGCCAGCUUCAUGAGCCAGAACACCCGCAUCAUCCGCAGCACCCGCAGGAUCACGCCGGCGACCCCGAGCCCGGCGCCAGGCAUCCCCGCCCGGGCCAUCGCCAUGGUGACAUAGUAGGGGGUGAUGGCGAUCACGUCGAUGAUGUUGAGCGGCCUGCGGAGGAACUCCCACUUGUCUUUGGCCACCAGAAAGCGCACUAUGCACUCAGCUGUGAACCAGCCAAUGCACACUGCCUCCACGAUCCUACAGAGCAGAGAGGAGAGGAGGGGAACAAUGAGUUGAACACAGUGUAAACAGGAAAUGGCAGAGGAGCUACACGGAGAUAUGGAUGACAUGAGAUACUGCUGGACAAUCAGUAAAUGGGAGGAAAUAAGGAAGCAAAGCAGGGGGUGAAGUAAAUGAUGGGAAAUGCAAGUAAACAAAGACAAGAGGACAGAUGCGCAGAAGGGACAGUGAAGUGUCGGGAAACGGAGGGGGGGAUUAAAACCCUUCAAAGAGAUGCCACUCGAUUACCCCAUUGAUUAGCACACAAUCAAACCGGGUUAGAGAGAGGUGAGGCCAAGCAAAUGCCACAGAGCCUGAAGGGCAACAAUCAGCAUAAUUAAACCAAACCAAAUCGUGGAGCAGCUGAUAGAACUGUAUCAUCCACCGGCAUGAGACUAAAUAGGAAUCCUGUUGACCCUGAUGAAAACUACUUUCAGCUGAUUACCUAACCACUGCAACCGAUCCAAAACUCUAAACUGUAUCCAGCCUGAGUGAACAUAACCUAACCUUAUAUAGAGAGUGACUGAGGCCAGAAAAAUGCAGAAGAGAGAGAUGCACUUUUUCACCCUGCAUGCACAAACUUCAGUCCAACUAACCGUCCAAGAGGUGACUCAGACAGAAGCUGAUCCCUGAUAGUGGCCUAAUUUCUUUUUGUUUGCUUACAUUAAUACAUAAUCCCUCAGUACACAUUCUACUUUCACCUCAUCAACCAGACAAAUAGCAUGAAUGCAGCAUUAUCUGAUGUGUUUGUCCUUCUUGUGCACUGUGCAAUAUACACUAACCAGUAAAGAUAUAUAUCAGCUGCGAGGAGGAGGGGAAGAAGGAGGAAGAUAGAGCAACACCUCACUUUUUAGACACUAUGGAAUGAUCAUUGAUUUAGCUGUCCUGGGGGCUUGUCUGACUGUCAUGGAGGAUCCUAAGGUUUAAUGUAUUGGUUGAAACUUGCCAGUUCGCUUAUUGACUUCGGCAGCGUCAUUAAAUCACAGUGACAAAUUCCCUUUCCACCUAAUGCGUAGAUGUUUUGAAUAUCCUGCUUCAAAAUCAUUCGUCAUUUUUUAAAUCUUUUCAUAGUGAACAACGAGAUAUUAGCACUCAAAGAGCUGGAGUAUAAAAAAUGCCUCAAUGCGGCAACUUCCUGGAUCAUAAAUGUCUAGUACGCAGUGAGUUUGACCGCUGCCUUGAACGCAAGCAGCCGCUCAUAUGAAAUCCUCAAGUAUUUAUGAGUGUGAUUAUUUAUUUAUGGAGUGUUUGUAAUGACAGAAAUCUAUCCUUUACGCCGCCCAGCCUGUUGAACUCACUUUUACGCACAGGAUUUCAGAGCACCAUGUCACUUUUAAGAUAUCCGCACACAUUGCGCCUAAACAUUUGGCAGCUUUUUCAUGAGGGGGGCCUUUUUUUCCUUGAACUUUACUGACUCUUGACCACCGCCUACCUGUGCUCCUCCACAGUGUUUCUUUUGGCUGUAUCCCAAUCCGGCAGCGUGCUGGCGCACAGCAUUAUCAUAGAAACGAUGACAAAGAUCACGGACACUGAAGCCAAAAGCUGCGCUGCAAGGGAAGAGCUGGGCUCCUCAAAUGUUUUGCGCAUCAUCUCUAGCCAUCUAGCGCGACCGGUGAGCGCAGUCCGCGGCACCGACUCCUCCGGGCUCUGAGACUCGUCCGCGGACACCCUAAUGUCCCCCUCGGACAGACUGUCCAGUCCGAUGUCAGACAUCCUGUCGUCCAGGCGCUUCUGGCAGCAGGAGUCCAAGUGCGCGCUCUCCAGUCCCCAGUAGAGCAUCUCAGUGUAGAAGGACAGCUCACACACUCCGGGAACAAACCGGAGUUUACCGGAGCGCACGUAGAGCAUAAUGAACACGAAAGCCUGUGCGUGGCGAUCGAAGAAAAACUCAUUCCGGUCCCGGUCGUAGUCGUCGCACAGUUCAAGAACCUCUUUCUCGGUUGCGCAGGCAUGCAGGCGGCUGACGCGCCGGAGAGGGAAAUCCCUGAUCACCUCACGGGUGAAGGCGUACCGGGUUCCCCCUACGUUGAGCACGCAGAUGCUCUUCCCGAACUUCAUCUUACCAACCUGUGCCCUGUUAAAACUCCCCUUCACAGUCCAUCUCUCUCUGCCAUCACAGGAGUUUUGCGCAGCUGGGGAGCGGACGGUCUCCCCCUGCCGCCCCCGGGGCGUGGUUCGCUUUGAGUGGAGGUGGCCCUGCGCUGAGGUCCGUGGCUGCUGGAAAACUCUUCCCUUCUGUCCCUCACUCUCUGCUCUCCCUGUGUAGCCUGUGGAGAGACUCUCCACCCCAGUCAGGGCGAGCCAAUCCCAUCAAUGAUGUCACAUGCGCACAGACGCACGCAGUGAAGGAGGAAAAACUCCAACAAGAACAGUGUGGAGCGUAAUUUACGCACGAUUAUCUCCAAAGUGGAUUCUGCUUCUUGCUGCGAAACAAUGGAAAUACUCUCAUGAGUGUGAUGGAAAUUGUAUAUUUUAGUGGUUUACAAUAUUUUACUGCAGACAAUAGGCAUGCUAUUAGUUUGCAUACUUUCAUAUCGGCACAAUCCUUUUUACUGAAUGGCACUUGGACGCAAUGGCUGUCUUAAAUGUGCAUUUUAAUCUUAACUAUUUUUAUCUUGUCAUAUUGCAUGCUUUGGAUCUCAUUUGUUUGAAUUUUUCAUUGUCUUGUAGUAAAGUAAAGAUGCCAUGCAAAUAAAGUUACUGCACAUUAUCUGUGUGCUCCCUGA